GCAGUAGCAAAAGGAGCUUCCCUCAACCAUGUCUCCAGAGAAUCCUCCGAUGUUAGACGCCUCGCCAACUUCUACAAAGAGAUCUUUGGUUUUGAGGAGAUAGAGAGUCCAAAUUUCGGGGAGUUCAAGGUGAUAUGGCUGAAUCUCCCUCAAGCUUUCUCUCUCCACCUAAUUGAGAGAAGCCCCACCACGAAGCUUCCAGAAGGGCCCUACAGCGCUGCCUCACCGGUUCUUGAUCCCAGUCAUCUCCCCAGAGGCCAUCAUAUCUGCUUCUCCGUUUCCAAUUUCGAUUCCUUCGUCCAAACUCUCAAGGUCCACUCUAAUAUUUUGAUGAAUUAAUCCAUGAAAUUGGUAUUAUAUCGUUUGUGUAAAUGAUAAUAGAAAUGAAAUCUUGAAAUUUAAUUGAUAAAACAAUAUUAAAUUUAGCUGCCUUAUAGCCAAGAAUAGUAGUAAGUUUUGAAUCACGAGAUGGGAAACUUAUGAAGUUGAUUACUUAGAGCAUGUUCGAUUGGUUUUUAAAAUGAAAAUAGAUGUCAAGAUUUCAAGAAUCCUAUUUCCAAAUUCGUAGUUUUUUUAUGGGCAACUAAUUGAAGUUUAUUUUUGAAAAAAUUAAAUAAAAUUUAGCGAUAAUCUCAAGAAUAUACGUACUUACAAGUAUAUGCCAUUUAUUUUUUCCAACAUAAACUCAGUUUAUUUAAAUAUAAGUUAUUAUAAAAAAUUUGGAUUUUUCAUCAACCAAACGAAACAAAAAUGGAAUCUUAUUCCAAGAAUUGCCACCAUUCCCAAUUCCAGAGCAAGCUAAACGCGGCCUUAAUGAUCUACAAAACCUAGCUAGUAGUUGUAGGCUUGUAGCUUGCAUAAAGAAGGGGCAUUUCAGGUGCUUUGAGAUUGCGUUCUGUGUAGAAGUUUGAACGUUCGAAGCAUUUUGCUGUCUUUUACUAGCAAAUAACAGUUAUGGAUAAGUUUUUUUUUUCCUUUUACAAUUUGGUUCAGAUUGAAGUAUUUGAUUUUUUAAAUCCAUUUCAUAAAGUGGCUAAACUGAAAUGUGAAAUUCAGGAUAAGGGAAUUGAAACUUUCCAAAGGUCUGUUCCUGGUCGUGCAAUUAGGCAGGUCUUCUUCUUUGAUCCGGAUGGUAAUGGAUUAGAAGUUGCAAGUCGUGAUGAAUAGAGUUGCACUCCACAGGCACAAGUGUGUUGAACAUUUAGCUAUUGUUAAGAGGGAAUAUAAAUAAACAAUGACAAGAACUUGCACUAAAAUUCCCUCACACAUAUAUAUAUAUAUUUAUGGUAGUUCCUUCAUACCCCUUAUGAUCAUGAUCUGAUCCUUAUUGUACUAAGUUUUUCUUCCUUUUAGUCAUUGAUUGGCAUAUGAUUAUGGUUAAUAUUUGGCUUUGGCUCAAGGACUGCAGUUUGUCGUGUGCAUCUACAUGAAUAGGGUAAGUUGAAUAGCUA
Molecule: unclassified non-coding RNA, 1451 nt
Filed under: Hevea brasiliensis (rubber tree)
Lineage: Eukaryota; Viridiplantae; Streptophyta; Magnoliopsida; Malpighiales; Euphorbiaceae
Source: RNAcentral